GACGAACGCCUGGCGGCGUGCCUAACACAUGCAAGUCGAGCGGAGACAUAGGAGAGCUUGCUCAAAUAUGUUUUAGCGGCGGACGGGUGAGUAACGCGUGAGCAAUCUGUCCCACACAGGGGGAUAACACUUGGAAAACAGGUGCUAAUACCGCAUGAGACCACAACGUCACAUGGCGAAGGGGUCAAAGGAGCAAUCCGGUGUGGGGUGAGCUCGCGUCCGAUUAGCUGGUUGGUGAGGUAACGGCCCACCAAGGCGACGAUCGGUAGCCGACCUGAGAGGGUGAUCGGCCACAUUGGAACUGAGAUACGGUCCAAACUCCUACGGGAGGCAGCAGUGGGGAAUAUUGGGCAAUGGGCGAAAGCCUGACCCAGCAACGCCGCGUGAGGGAAGAAGGUUUUCGGAUUGUAAACCUCUGUCCUUGGGGACGAAGGAAGUGACGGUACCCAAGGAGGAAGCCCCGGCUAACUACGUGCCAGCAGCCGCGGUAAUACGUAGGGGGCGAGCGUUGUCCGGAAUGACUGGGCGUAAAGGGCGCGUAGGCGGCUCGGUAAGUUAGAAGUGAAAGUCCCGUUUUCAAGGUGGGAAUUGCUUUUAAUACUGUCGGGCUUGAGUGCAGAAGAGGUAAGCGGAAUUCCAAGUGUAGCGGUGAGAUGCGUAGAGAUUUGGAAGAACACCAGUGGCGAAGGCGGCUUACUGGGCUGUAACUGACGCUGAGGCGCGAAAGCGUGGGGAGCGAACAGGAUUAGAUACCCUGGUAGUCCACGCGGUAAACGAUGAAUGCUAGGUGUAGGGGGUAUCGACCCCUCCUGUGCCGGAGUAAACGCAAUAAGCAUUCCGCCUGGGGAGUACGGCCGCAAGGUUGAAAACUCAAAAGGAAAUUGACGGGGGCCCGCACAAAGCAGCGGAGCAUGUGGUUUAAUUCGACGCAAACGCGAAGAACCUUACCAGGUCUUGACAUCGAUGUAAAGCCCAAGAGAUUGGGUGUCUCUUCGGAGGACAGAAGACAGGUGGUGCAUGGUUGUCGUCAGCUCGUGUCGUGAGAUGUUGGGUUAAGUCCCGCAACGAGCGCAACCCUUAUGAUCAGUUACUAACGGGUAAAGCCGAGGACUCUGAUGAGACCGCCGGGGACAACUCGGAGGAAGGUGGGGACGACGUCAAAUCAUCAUGCCCCUUAUGACCUGGGGCUACACACGUGCUACAAUGGUGAAAAACGAAAGAGAGGCGAAGUCGUAAGGCGGAGCGGAUCUCGAAAAAAAUCGAUCUCAGUUUCGGACUGUGGGGCUGCAACCCGCCCACACGAAAGUUGGAGUUGCUAGUAAUCGCGGAUCAGAAACGCCGCGGUGAAUACGUUCCCGGGCCU
Molecule: ribosomal RNA, 1363 nt
Filed under: uncultured bacterium
Lineage: Bacteria
Description: bacterial SSU rRNA
Rfam family: Bacterial small subunit ribosomal RNA
Source: RNAcentral